RNAcentral lists this ribosomal RNA (588 nucleotides) under Trichoderma virens. Its description in RNAcentral is "eukaryotic LSU rRNA". The stretch from base 204 to 357 matches the Rfam family "5.8S ribosomal RNA". The record is from RNAcentral. Lineage: Eukaryota; Fungi; Ascomycota; Sordariomycetes; Hypocreales; Hypocreaceae.
UUACCGAGUUUACAACUCCCAAACCCAAUGUGAACGUUACCAAACUGUUGCCUCGGCGGGAUCUCUGCCCCGGGUGCGUCGCAGCCCCGGACCAAGGCGCCCGCCGGAGGACCAACCAAAACUCUUAUUGUAUACCCCCUCGCGGGUUUUUUACUAUCUGAGCCAUCUCGGCGCCCCUCGUGGGCGUUUCGAAAAUGAAUCAAAACUUUCAACAACGGAUCUCUUGGUUCUGGCAUCGAUGAAGAACGCAGCGAAAUGCGAUAAGUAAUGUGAAUUGCAGAAUUCAGUGAAUCAUCGAAUCUUUGAACGCACAUUGCGCCCGCCAGUAUUCUGGCGGGCAUGCCUGUCCGAGCGUCAUUUCAACCCUCGAACCCCUCCGGGGGGUCGGCGUUGGGGAUCGGCCCUUUACGGGGCCGGCCCCGAAAUACAGUGGCGGUCUCGCCGCAGCCUCUCCUGCGCAGUAGUUUGCACACUCGCAUCGGGAGCGCGGCGCGUCCACAGCCGUUAAACACCCCAAACUUCUGAAAUGUUGACCUCGGAUCAGGUAGGAAUACCCGCUGAACUUAAGCAUAUCAAUAAGGCGGAGGA